CCAAUAGCGUAUAUUAAAGUUGUUGCAGUUAAAAAGCUCGUAGUUGAAUUUCGGAGUUUGUCGGUUGGUCGGGCUUCACUGUCCGCACUGACCUGAUGGAUUCCUACCUUCUGAAUAACCAGCAUGCUAUUAAGUUAGUGCGUUGGGGAAGCAGAGCUAUUACCUUGAAAAAAUUAGAGUGCUUAAAGCAGGCUUAUGCUUGAAUAGAUUAGCAUGGAAUAAUAAAAUAGGACGGCAUGGUUCUAUUUUGUUGGUUUCUAGGAUCACCGUAAUGAUUAAUAGGGAUAGUUGGGUGCAUUAGUAUUUAAUUGUAAGAGGUGAAAUUCUUGGAUUUAUUGAAGACUAACUUCUGCGAAAGCAUUUGCCAAGGAUGUUUUCAUUAAUCAAGAACGAAAGUUAGGGAAUCGAAGACGAUCAGAUACCGUCGUAGUCUUAACCAAAAACUAUGCCGACUAGGGAUCGGACGAUGUUAAUUUUUUAAUGACUCGUUCGGCGCCUUACG
Molecule: ribosomal RNA, 502 nt
Filed under: uncultured Glomeromycotina
Lineage: Eukaryota; Fungi; Glomeromycota
Description: partial small subunit ribosomal RNA
Rfam family: Eukaryotic small subunit ribosomal RNA
Source: RNAcentral